RNAcentral lists this ribosomal RNA (2610 nucleotides) under Triticum aestivum (bread wheat). Its description in RNAcentral is "partial small subunit ribosomal RNA". Lineage: Eukaryota; Viridiplantae; Streptophyta; Magnoliopsida; Poales; Poaceae. The record is from RNAcentral.
AUGGAGGAGAGCAAGCGGCGUGAUAGAUACACGCUUGACAAUCGCAAACCAAGAAAGCCCGUCGUCGAACUAGACCCCCGGCUAACCACUAUGUAUGAGGAGGUCAAGGGUUUGGUGGCGAUUGAUGGCCCACUGAAUCAGGUUAUCGCUUGGUUGACGGAGGAGAGCAAUGAGCGCAAAGUGGUAUCCAUCGUCGGAUGUGCAGGGCUGGGGAAGACGACCCUUGCUAUGGAAGCCUAUCGCAAGAUUGGGGGAAACUUUCAGUACCGAGCUUGCGUAUCGGUGUCGUGUACCCUUGAUCUGGAGAAGCUCUUGAAGGAUAUCCUCUCUCAGAUCGGCAAAAAGGAGUUUGCAGAAUGUCAAUCGCAGAACUGGGAGAAGGAACAAGUGAUCCGAAAAAUCUCAGAGAUCUUGACAGGAAAGAGGUACUUAAUUGUUAUUGAUGAUGUAUGGAGAGAACAAGACUGGAAAUUUAUCAAGGCUUCCUUUCCUGGGAAUGAUAACGGUAGCAGAAUAAUUACUACUACCCGAAUUACCAAUGUUGCCAAGUCAUGUUGUUGUAAUUCUGGUGACCAGCUAUAUCAAAUGGCACAUCUGAGUAGUAUUGAUUCUGAAAGACUGUUUUUUAAGAGAAUUUUCGGCCUGGGCAAUGCAUGCCCUCCUCAUCUGAAGACGGUUUCAGCUAAAUUGUUAAAAAAAUGCAGUGGACUGCCAUUGGCUAUAAUUACAAUUGCAAGUUUGCUAGCCAAUAAACCACGAAUCAAGGAUGAAUGGGAGAGACUGCAAGAUUCCAUUGGCAUCGACUCUUCACAAAAUGAUGAUAGUUUAAAAUCUAUGAGAGAUAUAUUGUUACUUAGUUAUUGGGAUCUUCCACAGCACUUGAAGACUUGCUUAUUGUACUUGUGUAUAUAUCCGGAGGAUCACCAUAUUGAGUGCGAAGAACUAAAAUGGAAGUGGAUAGCUGAAGGAUUCAUUGAUACACGGUGGGGAAAUUUGGGUCAAGAAGCAGAGAACUAUCUUAAUGAACUUGUCAAUAGAAGUAUGCUCCAACUGGUUGAUAUGAACUAUGACAGCUCUAUACAGUGUUGCCAGGUUCAUGAUAUGGUGCUUCAACUUAUAAUAUCUCUGUCGGAUGAAGAGAAUUUCGCCACAGUUUUGAAUGGGCGUGUCUGCAAUUCUUUGCCAAGCAAGAUCCGCCGACUCUCUAUUCACUCUAAUGUCCAACAACAAAAAGUAGCAGUUGAUGCCAUCGGAAGAAGUGAGUUGCAUGCUCGCUCACUGCAUGUGUUCGGGAAAUUUAAGCAGAUACCCCUAGUGGUUAACUUCCUUUCUUUGCGGGUGUUGGAUCUACGUGAAGGUUCUUGUAUCUGGUUCGGAAAAAAGCAAAUACAGAAUAUAGGAAGUUUAUCUCAGCUGAGGUAUUUAAGACUUCACAGUUCAGAAAUCACAGAGCUUCCUGAAGAAAUCGGGAUGCUACAGUACUUGGAGACUCUUGAUUUGCGGCGUUGUUAUUCACUCACAGUGCUGCCAUCAACUGUGGUUAGGCUGCGGAAGCUGGCACACCUGUUCGUCCAUGACAGACUUAUGUUGCACGCAGAUGUGUUUGGAAGAAUGCAUGCCUUGGAGGAAGUAUCAGCUAUCAGCUAUGUUGACAACCCAGUGAAAUUUGCAGAACAACUUCGGAAUCUAAUAAACCUGAGAAGAAUCUAUAUGCCUUGUUCUGUUGCUCUUCUCCAGGCCAAAAAUGGUGAUUAUGCAGAAGCACUUGUGAGAAUUCUGGUGUCUUCUCUAAAUGAGUUGGGCGAACACAACCUUCAACAUCUUCAUAUUACUGGAAGUGUAGGAGAAAAUCUGUUCAGGGAUCCUGCUUGUACCUUUCCGCACCUCCAAGAUGUUGAAAUAUCUACACUUAUUCACCGGGUUCCCAAGGGAAUGGCUUCCCUGAACAGCAUAGUCAAACUAGUCAUAAAAGUCAGACAAUUUGAUGAGAAGGACCUGCAUCUUCUUAUGCGGAUGCCUUGUCUGACUCACCUUGGGCUAACCCUAUACCAUCGGAUUGGAGUCAGGGAAAAGCUCACCGUUGGUGGCGACGGGUUUAAGCUUCUAAAGGUGCUCCACUAUGAAAUUGUGCUAAGCUCUGGAACAGGGAUAUCAUUUGCACAAGGUGCUCUGCCAGCACUCCGACGUCUCCAUCUUUCCUGGACUGCAAGCCGAGUUAUGUCCAGGAAAUGUGAUGGUGCUGACCUUGGCAUCGAACAUCUCUCAGGCCUUGUACACCUCCAUGUCGAAACUAACUGUCGUUUUGCAACUCUGGGCGAAGUGGAGGCGGUGGAGGCUGCAGUUCAAAAAGCCGUCGCCUUGCAUCCCAACCUCCACGCUCUUCAAGUUGACGUUUAUAAGACAUCAACUGAAAACAUCAUUAAGGGUGACAAGGAGAGAAGCGAGGAGAGCGGCGAGGACAUGACUGACGAGGAGUACGGGAAUAGCGAGAUUGAUGUCAGUGACUCGCCACCGCCAACUAGCUCCUGUUUGCUGGACCAGGUAAUGUGGACAGACACACGUUCCUCCAACUCUGCAAUACUGCGAGUCUGCAACUUGCCAGCUGAAUGA